This 495-nucleotide ribosomal RNA is filed under the name uncultured bacterium. RNAcentral describes it as "partial 16S ribosomal RNA". It matches the Rfam family "Bacterial small subunit ribosomal RNA", at positions 28 to 507 of the family's 1533-position model. The record is from RNAcentral.
GACGAACGCUGGCGGCGUGCCUAAUACAUGCAAGUAGAACGCUGAAGGAGGAGCUUGCUCUUCUGGAUGAGUUGCGAACGGGUGAGUAACGCGUAGGUAACCUGCCUGGUAGCGGGGGAUAACUAUUGGAAACGAUAGCUAAUACCGCAUAACAGUAGAUGUUGCAUGACAUUUGCUUAAAAGGUGCAAUUGCCUCACUACCAGAUGGACCUGCGUUGUAUUAGCUAGUUGGUGGGGUAACGGCUCACCAAGGCGACGAUACAUAGCCGACCUGAGAGGGUGAUCGGCCACACUGGGACUGAGACACGGCCCAGACUCCUACGGGAGGCAGCAGUAGGGAAUCUUCGGAAAUGGACGGAAGGCUGACCGAGCAACGCCGCGGGAGGGAAGAAGGGUUUCGGAUCGUAAAGCUCUGUUGUAAGAGAAGAACGAGUGUGAGAGUGGAAAGUUCACACUGUGACGGUAUCUUACCAGAAAGGGACGGCUAACUACGUG